GUGCCAGCAGCCGCGGUAAUACGUAGGGGGCUAGCGUUGUCCGGAUUUAUUGGGCGUAAAGAGCGUGUAGGCGGCCAGAUAGGUCUGCUGUGAAAACUCGAGGCUCAACCUCGAGCUGUCGGCGGAAACCAUUUGGCUAGAGUCCGGAAGAGGAAAGUGGAAUUCCUGGUGUAGCGGUGAAAUGCGCAGAUAUCAGGAAGAACACCCGUGGCGAAGGCGGCUUUCUGGGACGGUACUGACGCUGAGACGCGAAAGCGUGGGGAGCGAACAGGAUUAGAUACCCCCGUAGUCC
This 292-nucleotide ribosomal RNA is filed under the name uncultured bacterium. RNAcentral's name for it is "partial 16S ribosomal RNA". It matches the Rfam family "Bacterial small subunit ribosomal RNA", at positions 505 to 796 of the family's 1533-position model. The record is from RNAcentral.